CGAGCGAACAGACGAGGAGCUUGCUCCUCUGACGUUAGCGGCGGACGGGUGAGUAACACGUGGAUAACCUACCUAUAAGACUGGGAUAACUUCGGGAAACCGGAGCUAAUACCGGAUAAUAUAUUGAACCGCAUGGUUCAAUAGUGAAAGACGGUUUUGCUGUCACUUAUAGAUGGAUCCGCGCCGCAUUAGCUAGUUGGUAAGGUAACGGCUUACCAAGGCGACGAUGCGUAGCCGACCUGAGAGGGUGAUCGGCCACACUGGAACUGAGACACGGUCCAGACUCCUACGGGAGGCAGCAGUAGGGAAUCUUCCGCAAUGGGCGAAAGCCUGACGGAGCAACGCCGCGUGAGUGAUGAAGGUCUUCGGAUCGUAAAACUCUGUUAUUAGGGAAGAACAAAUGUGUAAGUAACUAUGCACGUCUUGACGGUACCUAAUCAGAAAGCCACGGCUAACUACGUGCCAGCAGCCGCGGUAAUACGUAGGUGGCAAGCGUUAUCCGGAAUUAUUGGGCGUAAAGCGCGCGUAGGCGGUUUUUUAAGUCUGAUGUGAAAGCCCACGGCUCAACCGUGGAGGGUCAUUGGAAACUGGAAAACUUGAGUGCAGAAGAGGAAAGUGGAAUUCCAUGUGUAGCGGUGAAAUGCGCAGAGAUAUGGAGGAACACCAGUGGCGAAGGCGACUUUCUGGUCUGUAACUGACGCUGAUGUGCGAAAGCGUGGGGAUCAA
This 726-nucleotide ribosomal RNA is filed under the name uncultured Staphylococcus sp. RNAcentral's name for it is "bacterial SSU rRNA". It matches the Rfam family "Bacterial small subunit ribosomal RNA", at positions 63 to 771 of the family's 1533-position model. The record is from RNAcentral. Lineage: Bacteria; Bacillati; Bacillota; Bacilli; Caryophanales; Staphylococcaceae.